Molecule: ribosomal RNA, 253 nt
Filed under: uncultured bacterium
Lineage: Bacteria
Description: partial 16S ribosomal RNA
Rfam family: Bacterial small subunit ribosomal RNA
Source: RNAcentral
UACAGGGGGGGCAAGCGUUGUUCGGAAUUACUGGGCGUAAAGGGCUCGUAGGUGGCCAACUAAGUCAGACGUGAAAUCCCUCGGCUUAACCGGGGAACUGCGUCUGAUACUGGAUGGCUUGAGUUUGGGAGAGGGACGCGGAAUUCCAGGUGUAGCGGUGAAAUGCGUAGAUAUCUGGAGGAACACCGGUGGCGAAGGCGGCGUCCUGGACCAACACUGACACUGAGGAGCGAAAGCCAGGGGAGCAAACGGG